GUACACGCUGUGACUAGCAUAUCAAUAAGCGGAGGAAAAGAAACUAACAAGGAUUCCCUCAGUAACGGCGAGUGAAGCGGGAAGAGCUCAAAUUUGAAAUCUUGAAAGGUCACCUUUCAGCGAAUUGUAGUUUAAAGAAGUGUUUUCUGUUACGAUCGUAAUAUAAGUUCUUUGGAAUAGGACAUCACAGAGGGUGAGAAUCCCGUCUAUGAUUGCGAUUUGUAGCUUUGUGAUACACUUUCAAAGAGUCGGGUUGUUUGGGAAUGCAGCCCAAAAUGGGAUGGUAAAUUUCUUCUAAGGCUAAAUAUUGGCGAGAGACCGAUAGCGAACAAGUACCGUGAGGGAAAGAUGAAAAGAACUUUGAAAAGAGAGUUAAACAGUACGUGAAAUUGUCAAAAGGGGAAGCGUUUGACACCAGUGUUGUUUUCUCGAAAAUCAAUUAAAAAUGGCUCGAUUUUGUAUUGCUGAGACCUUAAAAGCUCACUGUACAUUUUUCGUGUCUUUUUUAAUGCACUUUUCGUUUAACAAGUCAACAUCAGUUUCUUUUGUUGUAAAAGGGUCAUUGGAAGGUGGCUUUCUUUUCGGAGAAAGUGUUUAUAGCCUUUGGCCUCUGCAAUCGGAGAGACUGAGGUCUGCAGCGUAGACUCUUCGGGGUUAGAUACAUUUGUGCUAAGUUAUAGCUUUUUAUAGACAACAUGUUGACUAUAAUUAGUCUUGUAGCUUACUCGCUUAUGCUAUUUUACCUACGCUUAGGAUGUUGAGUAGCGACAUACGCAC
Molecule: ribosomal RNA, 777 nt
Filed under: uncultured Neocallimastigales
Lineage: Eukaryota; Fungi; Neocallimastigomycota; Neocallimastigomycetes; Neocallimastigales
Description: partial large subunit ribosomal RNA
Rfam family: Eukaryotic large subunit ribosomal RNA
Source: RNAcentral